RNAcentral lists this ribosomal RNA (433 nucleotides) under uncultured bacterium. RNAcentral's name for it is "partial 16S ribosomal RNA". It matches the Rfam family "Bacterial small subunit ribosomal RNA", at positions 29 to 507 of the family's 1533-position model. The record is from RNAcentral.
AACGAACGCUGGCGGCUUGCUUAACACAUGCAAGUCGAACGAUCCCUUCGGUGCUUGUGGCGCACGGGUGCGUAACGCGUGGGUACCUGCCCUUUGGUUCGGAAUCCUUUAGAGGAAUUUGAGCUAAUACAGGCUAAUGUUAUCGCCCCAUAGAUGUAUGGCCUUGGGGUGGGGCCGUAUGAGAUUAGCUUGUUGGUGGUGUAAAGGCCUACCAAGGCGUAGUGCCAUAGCUGGUCUGGGAGGAGGACCAGCCACACUGGGACUGAGACACGGACGAGACACCUACGAAAGGCAGAAGGGGGGAAUAAGGGACGAUGGGCGAAAGACUAAGGCAGCAAUGUCGCGUAAGUGAGGAAGGACAUAGGAUUGUAAAGCAGAGUGAAAAGGGAAGAUAGUGACGGUACCGGGAGAAUAAGCCCCGGCUAACUACGUG